Molecule: ribosomal RNA, 465 nt
Filed under: uncultured bacterium
Lineage: Bacteria
Description: partial 16S ribosomal RNA
Rfam family: Bacterial small subunit ribosomal RNA
Source: RNAcentral
GACGAACGCUGGCGGCGUGCUUAACACAUGCAAGUCGUACGGUAAGGCCCUUUCGGGGGUACACGAGUGGCGAACGGGUGAGUAACACGUGAGUAACCUGCCCACAACUUUGGGAUAACGCUAGGAAACUGGUGCUAAUACUGGAUAUGUGCUCCUGCUGCAUGGUGGGGGUUGGAAAGCUCCGGCGGUUGUGGAUGGACUCGCGGCCUAUCAGCUUGUUGGUGGGGUAGUGGCCUACCAAGGCGGCGACGGGUAGCCGGCCUGAGAGGGUGACCGGCCACAUUGGGACUGAGAUACGGCCCAGACUCCUACGGGAGGCAGCAGUGGGGAAUAUUGCACAAUGGACGCAAGCCUGAUGCAGCAACGCCGCGUGCGGGAUGACGGCCUUCGGGUUGUAAACCGCUUUCAGCAGGGACGAAGCUUUUUGUGACGGUACCUGCAGAAGAAGCACCGGCUAACUACGUG